Molecule: long non-coding RNA, 334 nt
Filed under: Mytilus galloprovincialis (Mediterranean mussel)
Lineage: Eukaryota; Metazoa; Mollusca; Bivalvia; Mytilida; Mytilidae
Source: RNAcentral
GUAUGCAUACCCAGUUAUCAUAAACAUUACGUUAUCUUUGUCCAUUUACCAGUAAUCGUCUAUUAAGAUUUAUGCCUUAUCCAAGGGAGGUGUCAUUUUAAUUUUUCUCGACUGAGUUUCUAUCGAGAUGAAUAAAACCUGCUAAAAUCAGAUACAUCGGUUAAUCAAGACAAAAGGAACGAAAAUACUUUUGAUGAGUCAAGUAAAAAACAGAAAAUGCAGGCAGAGAAAGACCGGGAAUAUAAAAAAGAAAACAGAAUCAAGAAUUCUAGACGUCGUAGCCUUUAAAUAUCCCUGGCUCUCCAAUGAAGAAAUGUCAUUGAUGUUUAACCCC